RNAcentral lists this long non-coding RNA (24158 nucleotides) under Cucumis sativus (cucumber). RNAcentral's name for it is "long non-coding RNA (CSAT_LNC003196)". The record is from RNAcentral. Lineage: Eukaryota; Viridiplantae; Streptophyta; Magnoliopsida; Cucurbitales; Cucurbitaceae.
GGGGUAGAGGAGCAGUUCGUAAUCAACCUGUUGAGGGUCAAGCUGAACAGUAAAUUCCUACUGCACCAGUGACUCACACCGAGUUGGCUGCACUAUUUACUCACAUGGAGCCUUUUCACGGAGCUUAUGACUGCUAUAGCUUAGAACCAGCAGGCACCAGUAGUUCCGCCUACACCAGUAGUUCCAUUUGCACCUGUGGUUCCCCCUGUACCAGCAGCUCCACCUGCACCAGCAGCCCCUCCUGCACAGGGAUUGGUUGCACAACAGCCACAGAUACUACCGAACCAGCUUUCUGCCGAGGCGAAACACUUGAGAGACUUUAGGAAAUAUGACCCUCAGACGUUUGAUGGGUCACUAGAGGAUCCCAACAAAGCUGAGUUGUGGUUGUCCUCUGUGGACACCAUAUUUAAUUACAUGAGGUGUUUAGAGGAGCAUAGGGUUCAAUGUGCUGCUUUUCUUCUGAGGGAUAGGUUUAACUGAUCUUAGGCGUGUAGGUUUCGAGAAUUAUUUUAUGGUUUUAUUUUCAAAAGAGAAAUUAGUGAACGAAUAUAUAACAAAAAUCAAACAUAAAAUGCAUGCAUGGAUAUUGAUCAUAUAAUACGAUAAACCAAACCCUAGCAUUUUACACUAUUAGGUACAAACUUUUGAAUUAACGAAAUAAAAUUUAUUUGUGAGAUUAUUAACCAUUAAUCACUAAUUCCACCGCAAACAGACACACUUAAUCUACACUAAAACAAAAAUUGUGACAAAACAUUUUAUUCUCGAAUAGCAUAAAGAGAGAAACAAUGAUGUUUUUUAUUGCUCAUGAUCAACUACAUUCAAAAGCAUGAAUCUACAUUUACAUUAAAACAAAAAAUGUGUUUAAAAAUGAAAUAAUAGGCUUUUAAGCCAAUGGUUUUCUUAUUCGUAUAUGGUAUUUUUAUCUUGAAAAGUCAAUCACGGUUCUUUUCUCCUCUCACCAUACUUCAUAUUCCUUUUGUUAGCAUCACUACUUCAUGCAAGUUUGAUAACAUCCUUUAUAACAACUCUCUGAUUUUUCCAGGUCUGCCAAUUUCAUAAAGAAAAAAAGAACAAUUAAAAGAAGGAUAAUCAGCCAUUAAACUAGAGAAAAUUAUUAAAGUAAGCGACCAAAUUUUAGUAUACUAAACUCUCAAUGAUUGUGAGUUUUGAUCUAGAUAAGAAGUUUGUAUAUGAAUACUACUCUAAUUGAAUGUUAGUCAUGACUAGGAUAACCUCUAAUGACAUUUCAUGCUCAAUGCAUGUAAGCAAACAAUGUCUUUCCCAACGAAUUAUCCUCAUUAUGAAAAUGUUUGCCAACACUACUAUUAGUGCGUAAAAUACAAAAGAAAUAUCAAAAUUAACACCAAUAAACCUAAAAUCUCUUUUUUUUUAUAUAAAAAAGAAAGGAUAGUGUCAAUCAGAGAGUCGAGCAGAAUAUCUCAACUAGAAUGUGACAUUCAUAGAUAUGGUCAAAACAACUAUGUGAAAGGGGCAAUAUUAUAGAAGCUAAUAAAAGAAAAAAACCAGAGCAAAGAUCUCUCAGAAUAGCAUUUAGAUUGAGACAUCAGAAACCAAAAAAAACUUAAAGGAUUAAAAUAGGUAUAUUAACUUGGUCCAACAAUGUAAAAGAAUAAAAUAGGUACUCCAAGAGUACUAGAAAUUAACUCACUCGGGUUUUGCAGGGUGGAAAUUUGGCUGCAGAGAGAAGCGGCACAACCAAGGUUGCAAAAUUGACGAGCAGCAUCCUCGGGGUUGGCAUUCGUAGCGGAAUUCGUAAUGGUUGAUGUGGAUCCUCCACCACAUAAGCUAAGGAAAAUCAAGCAAAUUACAAAUGAUUUCAUUUUUUCUCAAUUUAAAUUUCUUCUUUAUGUUUUUUCUUCUUUUUGUUAUGGUUCAAAUGUAUAUAUGGUUAAGCGCUUGAUUUUAUAGAAAAUAAGAUUGAGUAAAAUUAACUAUAGAGAGAAAAAUAAAAUUAAGUACUCUUCGUCAAAACCACAAAUAGAAUUGAGGAUGAAACAAUAUUCAUGGCGAUACUAUCGAAAAACGAAUGACUCACGAUGACACACUGCCACGCUUCCCUUGAUCACCUCACAUUCUUUUGACUAAUUUAACUUCCUCUUAUGGCUUAAAAUGUCUUUCACGUUAAAGCCCUACCAAUGUGGAAGAUCUCAUUUGUAGUUUACAAAAUUGCCAUUACACAAAUUAUAUCUUUGACAUUUUCAACCGAUUUUUUUUAGUUGUAAAUAUAACAAAUAGAAACACAUACAUAUAUAGACCUAGACCUAGUAAUAGAAGUAUACAUUGUUAUAUUUACUUUUCAUAAUUUUACUAUACGCUUAAAUCAAUAAACCUGGAAGUGAUCUCUAUUGUAAUUGUUUAUUUAUUUAUUUUUUGAUAGAACAUGAUCCUUUACUUAAUUUGCCGAGUUAUUAUUCGACACCAAGGGUUUCAUUAGUAUAAAACACAUGGCUCAACUGACAUCUGAUAUGUGUUAGCGAUCAUGACGUUUAUGACUUGAAUCACUGCACCUUCAACAUAUUCUCUCCAAUUACUAAUUUAAUAUCAAAUCAAUUAGUAUAAAAUGAGAAAGUUGAUGUCACAAUUAGUAUAAAAAGAUAUUAUAUUCGAUCAAGGACUCGUGACCUUAAAUAGGCUUUAUAUUUUGGAUUAAGUUGAAAAUCACCCACAUUGAAAAUAUAAUUUUGUUAAAGAAAUCAACAAUGAAUUAUCGAAUUACAAAAAACGUGUGGAGAAAUCGACGUACAUAUCUAUUUGUGGUUUACUAACAGUGUCAUAGCUACAUCUACGAGAUAGAGAAGACACAUGUUUUGGAGAAAAUCUUUUCUUAGUACAAAUUAAAUUGUGCCUCUAUACUUUGUUGUUCGUAGCACCACAUGUAACAAAUUCAAGGCAUUUUAUCAAUUUGUAUAUGUUUCAAUUACUUUACUUUCACAAUCCAAUUGAUGUAUGGUAGAAAAAGCUAGCUCAUGUAGUUAUGAUCUAAUAUGAUGAUUAAGUUAGAAAUUAAGUAUCCUAGCCCUUUCAACGUUUGUUAUUUUAUAUACAUUUUUCAUUUUAUUAUAACUAAUAAUUUUCACUCUUUUAUAAAAAAACCUCCUCCUCCAUAAAAAUAUAAAAAUAAACUUAUUAAAAGUUAUUUUAUUAAAAUAAACUUAUUGAAAAUUUUCCUCCCUUCCCUUCUCGUUUUAUCUCCCUCUUUCUCUCCACCAAACCUUCACAUCGUUUUCUCCAUCUCCAUCGGCCGCGGCUCACAACUCUUCAUCUCUCCACCGAUUGUCGACAUAAUCCACGACUCUCCAUCUCCACGACACUCUCUCCAUUUUCGGAUGGCCAACCACAUAGACUCUAACCCACAACACUCCAUCUCUACACCAGUUGUCAACCCACAACCAUGACUCUCUAUCUCCACCGACCACCGACCACCGACCGUCGACCUUCAACCCCCACAACUCUCCAUCUCCGUGCAAUUCUCUCCAUUUUGGAGUUCUUUUGCUUGUUUACUUAUUUGAUCAAUUAGUUAUUUUGUUUUUCUCAUUUUGAAUUCACUACAAGAAAUUUAUGAUUCAAUGGCAAAGUUUUAGUGGCGCAAGUUAUUUUUGUUAGUAAAAGUUCGUUUGUAAAGAAGCAAAAAAAAAUGUCACAAAAAAUUAUUAUUAGUGUCACAUUUUUAAUCCACGUCACUAAAAGAAUUAGUAACACACAUAAAUAAUGUAAUUAAAAUCUAUAUAGUUUUAGAAACAAACUUAAAUGUUGCUGAAAAACUUCAAACUUUCACCCUUACUUUCAAUUUCCCUAAACUUUUUUUAAAGAAAUUGUUAAAUAUAUAUUCUCUUUGUAUCUUCCCCUUUCUCUCCUCAAGAAAACUCUUCCCAAAACCCCUACCUUUUAAAAACUUUCUUUUAUAAAAAUACCUUUUCUUUUUUUAAUUUCUCCCUCUUUUCCCCCUUCCCUAAAAUUCCCCCACUUUUCCAAUCUCCCUUUCCCCCCACCCACCCCGAUUUCAUCUUAACCAUGCCACUUAACCAUGCCAUUGUUGGGAAUGAUAAGAUAAUUCGCUUGGCAAAUGGGUUUGUACAGCUUAAUGAUUUGAGCUUUAGUGACAAUUCAAGUUGGACCAAAACUAAGAAGUUUAGAUUGGGAGUGAAAUUUGUGGAUGACGAAAUCAAAACUAAGUUUCCAAGAAUUGAGGGAGCUAUCUCCGAACCUUUUAGAGUGAUGGAUCAGCGUGGUGAAGGUAUGCCUUUUUUUUUUCUCAAAUGCAAAGUUCUUUUUAAGUGAAAAUAUCAUUCUCUGGAGAUCCCUUUUUGAGACUUAUUUUAUAUUUUUAUAUAUAUCUUAGUCCUUCCAAUGGCCGUAUUUCAUUCAGAUUCCCUUUAGUCCUUAUAUUUUUAGAUCAAAGUUGGUGAAUAUAUUCAAACCUUUUUUUGUUUUCUGUUUAUUAUGAUGCAUAAGGGUACAAGAAACACCACCCUCCAAGUAGGGGAGAUAAAAUCUGGCGAUUAGAAGGAAUUGCCAAAAAUGGUGCAUAUCUCCAACGCUUGUCCUCCAACGAAAUAAAAAAUGUGGAUGAUUUUUUGAAGACUUAUAAACAAAAGGGUUCUACUUACCUGAAACAGGUAUACGUAUGACAAAAGAUAAUAAUAAUUCGAAGUUGUUAAUUUCACAUAACCAUUUUAUGCAGUUUUGUAUAUGCAGCUACUUGGUGAGAAAGUCUCUAUCGGCGAACAGAAGAAGAAGAGAGGAAAAGGAGGGUGGGCGGCGGCUGGGUAGAAAAGAAAAGAAAACUGAAAGAAGGAGCAGAGGGGGUUUGCGCGCGGGAGGAAGAAGGAAGGAAAAAAAAAAUUCUUUUCUUUUCUUUUUUCUAUUUACCUUUUCUCUUAUUUAAUAUAAUAACUAAUAAUAAUAAUAAUAAUAAAUAUAUAGUAUUAUUAUUAUUAUAACAUUUCUAAUCCCCUUUCUCCCUUAACUUCUUUUCUAAAAAAAAAAAAUCUUCAAAUUAAAAUGCAAUUUAAUUUAAAAGUAAGAUACCUUAGAGUUCGGGGUGUUAUAAUAAUACUAAAUUAUUGGUCAUUUUUUGUUGUGUAACUAUUGGUUGGAGAGUUUAUUUUGUUGAUGAAUAUGUUUUAUUGAAAUGAAUGUACGUAAUGAAAAAAACAGAAAAUGGAACAUUUUGUAUAUUAAAUAUAUUAAUAAAUGCUAUACAUGAUGUUAAAUAUAUGUCAAGUAUACUAUCGUACUUAAAUCACAUAUACAAUUUUACUUUGACGGAUAAAUAGCGUCAAGUAUACUAUCUUACUUGACGAGUAAAUAGUAUCAAGUAUAUUAUCUUACUUGACAUGUAAAUAGUGUCAAGCAUAUGAUCUUACUUGACAUGUAAAUAAUAUCAAGAAUACGAUCCUACUUGACGUGCAAAACUCGUCAAGUAUAGGACUCUACUUGACACGUAAAAGGUGUCAUGUAUAUAACCUCACUUGACACGUAAAAGGUGUCAUGUAUGUCGUCACGUGCCCGAGACGACGCGGAGCGACCGACGUCCUCAAAAGAGCUAGUUUUAAAAUAAAAUAGGAGUCGCCACCAAUCUUUUUUACGGCGUGAUUGGACACCGAAAUAAAAUAAACAAUUUAAAAAAAAAUGGUCUGCGAAAAAAUUGAGUAGCGUCCGGGAGUCAUUUGUGUGUGGGGAAGGUAUUAGCACCCCACGACACCCAUUUAAAUAAACGGUGGCCAAAGUUCAAAUCUUGAAUUGAAAAUAUUUUUUAAAAUUUAUUUUUAAACCAAUGUCUUAUUUCACCCCUUAUUACUCCAAUAUUUGAAGCAAUGAUCUCAUAAAAUAAGUGGAAUAAUAUUCCAUUAAUUAAGACUACGAAAGUUUCUCACCUUAAGAAAAUGAAAAAUUAUUACAAUUUUUCAAAAUCUAUCAUAGGCUAGUCUUUGAAUAAAGGAUUUUUUUUUUAAAACAUUGAUUAAAUUCAUUUUUUCUUGGGAUCAAAUUUCGGACUUCCAAAGAUAUUGAUCCCUCACCUCAAGAAUCUAGAAAUAACGGACUUCCAGGAAGUUCUAGAUUCCAUCGUAGGAUUUUUUUUAAGGAAAACGGUAUAAGUUUUUAGAAAAGAUUGGUUUAGGAAAUCUUAUGAAAUCAUAUGUUAAAUUUUGAAGGUUUUGAAAAAAACAUAAAACAUUUAUAGCAUUAGAGACAAAUUUGCUAAAUGAUUGUUUUUUUUAAAAAAAAAAGUCUUUUAUUUAAAACAUAAAGAAUUUUAAAUUGGAAGGAUUUCAAAACAUUAAAAAAAUUAAAUACAAAGAGUUACAUUUAAGUGCAUAUAACAAUAAUUAUGAUAUAGCAAUGUGAAUGGUAAAAGAAAGGAAACAUAAUAGCAAUAAAAAAAAUAAGGAAAGAAACGGAAAAAAAAUAAUGAACAAAGAAAGAAAUAAUAAGAAUAAGAAUAAGUAGAAGAAGAAAAACAAGUAAAAAGAAGAAGAACCCUAAUAAUAAUAUAAUAUAAUAAUAAAUGGUGAUGAUAAUAAUAAUAAUGAUAAAAUUUUCUCUUUGUUCUUUAUCUCUAUAUUUUAGAGAAAAAAAUAAAGAUUAAGAGUUGAGAUUAAAAAGGGUAAUAAAAUACGGAUAAAUAAAAAGAGCACAUUUGUCUAAUGUCAUUUUCUCUCUCCCUAUUUUUUUUAGAGAGAAGAAAAAGACUAAAGAUUUUUUUUUUAAAAUGAUGAUAAAAGAAAAAAAAAUAGUACAAAAAUACUAAAAUUUUCCUACAUUUUCUUUUCUUUCUCUUUCUCUUUUAACAAGAGAAGAAAAGAAAAAUAAGAAUUCGAAUUCCAAAGAAAUUACUUGUUGUAUGAGGUGCGGAUCAUUGGGAUUAAAUCCCUACCAAAUGCAACAUCCAAUUAAGUUUAGUUAACAAUGAGGUUUAAUUUGCUUAAGAUAAAAUUUAAAAAAAUAUAGAGACAAUAGGGUAAUGAAAAGAAUAACAGAAACGCACCUUUUACACAGUUUUUUUUUUUUUUUUUUUUUUUUUUUUUUUUUUUUUGCAGAGAUUCCCUCUAAAAACUUUUUCUAAGCACUCUUUUUAAAAAGAUUUCUCUAAGAAACUUUCUCCAAAGAAUUUUUGUAAGAAAUUCUCCUCUAAAGAAUUCUUUGUUUAAGAAACUUCUCUCCUCUAAACCCGGAGUGUACCACAAAUUAGGAAAAAAUAAUAAAAAUAAAAUCGAAAUUUAAUAUUAUAUUAAUAAAACAAAUUUUCAUUUUCCUAAAAUAAAUUAAAUGAGAUAUUUUGAGAUUUUGUAAAAAAUAAAUUAAUACAUCAAAUGAAUAUUAAAAUACCGUUAUUUAAAAUUGAUUUUAUUUUUUCCUAAAAUGAUUUUAGUAAGUCAAAAUUGAUAUUAUAAGAUUUUAUUUAAAACAAAUUCAUUUCUUUUUUUUCUAAAAUAGAACAAAUAUGAUAUUAAAAGAUUUAAAAAAAAAUAAAUUGAUUUAAUUUUGUUUCUUAAAAUGAUAAAAAUGAAAUAUUAUAAGAUAUUAUGUAUUAUUAUUUUUUUUUACCUUUUUUUAAAGUAAAUAAAUAAUUUAGCAAUUAUUACUAAUAUUAGUAUUAAAAAAAGAUAUAUAUGUGUAGGAUAAAAAUAGGUGGCUACAGUAUGCCCCCCUUCGUGCAUCCUUGUAGAAUUAGAAGGUGGACGAAGGUGUAGCCAUUGACUCAUCAAACUAAGAUAUUUUAUAUAAAUUAUCAACGUUAAGGACCAUGGAUAAGACAAGCAUCUCAUAAAUAAGCUGGAGGCCAGAGAUAAAACGAAUGCCACCACAACAACACGGUGUCAAUGGCCAAGGAUAAAACAAGCACCUCAUGACAAAAGAAUAAAUAAGCUGGAGACCAGGGAUAAAACAAGCGUCACCGCAGCAAUACGGUGUUAAGGGCCAGGGAUAAAACAAGCGCCUCAUGACAAAAGAAUAAAUAAGCUAGAGGUAGAGAUAAAACGAACGCCACCACAGCAACAUGGUGUCAAGGGCCAGGGAUAAAACAAGCAGCUCAUGACGAAAGAAUAAAUAAGCUGGAGACCAGGGAUAAAACAAGUGUCACCACAGCAAUACGGUGUCAAGGGCCAGGGAUAAAACAAGCGCCUCAUGACAAAAGAAUAAAUAAAAUGGAGGCGAGAGAUGAAACAAGCACCACUAUAACAACAUGGUGUCAAGGGCCAGGGAUGAAACAAGCACCUCAUGACAAGAAUAAAUAAACUGGAGACCAGGGAUAAAACAAGCGUCAUCACAACUAAAAUCAAAUUGAUAAAUGUCAUUAAAAAAUGCUUGUAUGCAUGUAUAUGCUUACUAAGACAUGGUUAUUUUAAUAGUUUUCUUUUCUUUUCAAACAUUCUCUAGAUUCUUUUCAAAAAAGAAAACGAGUCAUACAAAAUAGGUGGUUUACUUUUCCACAAAAAUUGAUAACUAGGCAUCAUAAUCUUGAGUUGUAACCUAGCUGCUAAUUUGCCUUGAAAAUCUUUGUGGAGUGAUUAUUUACCAAAUAAAACAUCAUUUUUAGUCAUUGAGACCGAUGGUAAUAAGUAGAUCAAUAAAAGGUAGCGAUCAUGUAACUUAGAUCUUGAUCUUAAAGUCCUUCCUUAAGCUUCAAACUCUUCAUAAAUGAUGAACUUUAAAGGCUCUUAUAGUCUCUAAAGCGAGGGAAUCUUCUUUGAGAUUAUCUCUCUCUUGCAAAUAAUGAUGACAAGCGUCUUGUGCUUUGCAACGCAGUCUUACUUAGAUGGAUGAUACUUGGUCUUCAACAAAGAAAGCCAGUUUCGCCUUAUAUAUUAAAUAAGGGAGACCGUCCCCAAAUGAUCUUUGAUAAAAAUAGGAAAACUCCUACUAAUCCAUUUUAUGAACAACGACGAUGAUUAUCAGAUAUCUUGCAACAUACUCAUUUCAAGAUUUUGGCUUACUAGCUCAACAACCCUCUUGUUCUCUAUUUCAACAUCUUGAGGCACAACAUAUUUUAGCUCUUCUCUUCAUGAUGAAAAAUUGAAACCAAACCUCCCUGUUGAUUUCAUUUCUGAAGUCUUCAUUGAUAUCAUUUUCUUUUCACGACGACCAAAAAUUAAGUAUCUUAGCCUUUCAACGUUUGUUAUUUUGUAUACAUUUUUCAUUUUAUUAUAACUAAUAAUUUUCACUCUUUUAUAUGGUUGCGUUAUAAACAAUAAAAAAAUAUUUUAGUAUUUUAAUAUUUUAUUGUUUUUAUACUUCAUUUUUCAACAAUUUUAAUAUUUCAGAUUAGAAAGAAUGACGAAAAAAAAGUUUAUUAAGAGUUAAGAUAAUGGACAAAAGAAAUAAAAUUAUAUUUAAAAGAAAACUACGAAUUGAAAACCACAAAAGUUUUUUUUUUGGUGUAGACACCCAAAACUUUACAAUUAAUUAUAUUUAAAAAAAUCAAAAUAGUUUAAUUUUUUUUAACAAAUUGAAUCUCAAAUUUCAGUACGACAUAAUCUAUUUUACUUGACACUAGUUAGUUUUACAAAAAAAAAUGUCAAGUAUUGAGCAUUUUAAAAAAAACCGUCAAGUAUAGUUUCAAAAAAGUGGAAUUUUUUGAAGUAUUUUACAUUAACUUUUACUUGACGUUUUUUUCGCAUCAAGUACAAGAGAGAUUUGAUUUGACGUUUUAUUCGCGUUAAGUAGUAUAACAAAAUUUUACUUCACGCAAACAAAACGUUAAGCAUAGUUUGACGAAAGCAAAAUUUUCAUGAAAUUUUUUGAAUUAUUUUACGUUAGCUUUUAUUUGACGUUUUUUUCCACAUCAAGUAUAGUGUAGAAUUUACUUGACGGUGUUUUAGUAUCAAGUAUAAUGCAACUUUUACUUGACAUUUUUUCAGGUCAAGUAUAGUUAAUAUUUACUUGAAUCAGAAACACCUUUUUAUUUUGUCAAGCAUAAAAAUAUAAAAUUUUUUAUUUCCCUCUUUUCAACAAUUAAAAUUAUUAAAAUAAACUUAUUGAAAAUUUUCCUUCCUUCCCUUCGCGUUUCAUCUCCCUCUUUCUCUCCACCAAACCUUCACGUAGUUUUCUCCAUCUCCAUCUCCACCGGCCACCGGGUCACAUAUAUUUCUUGUCUUUUAUUUACACUUAAGACCUAAAUGUUUUGCUUAUUGAAAUUUUUUCUUUGAUGGUUUAUGUGAUAUAUUGAUGGUUCUUUGUAGGAAAAACAUCCCUCAUAGUUUUUCUUUUAUAGAAAUGGUUCCUUAGAUUCUUGUCAACAUGUUUAUGUAUGCUUCCUUGAUAGUGACUUCUAGAUUCUUCCUUUGUAGUUAGCUCAACAUGAAGGGACUUCUUCAAAACAAUUACUAGCUAAAUUGGCAACUAAGUGGCUAAAAGCUGAGAUUCUCGAGAUACUUUUAGCCACUGUAGUUGUCAAUCUAGCUGGAACAAAGGAUUUGGAUAUUGAUCUUCAAAACUAAUUUCACUUCAGGUUUUUUAUUGUUUAUUUUUGUCAUGAGAUUAUUGGUGUUCUAUUUUUCAAUGUUUGUUUGUUUUGUAGGUUUAAUCAUGAUCUAAGGUCAGUUACCAAUAUUAUACAAACUUCACAUAUAUGGUUCAUGUUUAACUGAUCAUAGGCGUGUAGGUUUCGAGAAUUUUUUAGUGGUUUUAUUUUCUAAAGAGAAAUUAAUGAACGAAUAUAUAACAAAAAUCCAACAUAAAAUGCAUGCAUGGAUAUUGAUCAUAUAAUAGGAUAAACCAAACCCUAGCAUUUUACACCAUUAGGUACAAACUUUUGAAUUACAUGCCAUAACUUAAUUUUGGAAUUAUGGUAUAGCCAAAUUUUGGGGUUGCGUGACACACCAAUAUUUGACAUUUCUUUAUGUUCAUAUAGUACCAUAAAGUCAAUCCCAAAAUGACUCUUCCUCUCUUCGUUCUUCAUUAAUUCAUGUCGCUUUUUUAGCAUCUUUGAAAGCUUGAGUUCAUACAACCUCUCUCACUUGGUUCUCAUCAGCAAAAAAGAAAAAAGUGAAUAUAUUUAACAAAAGCAAUGAAUUUGGAAAUUACUAAAAGUUAAAUCGAGCUCAAAAUAUAAAAACUAAAAGUGCAACGUUCUGGAACUCCUAAGAAUCAAAUAGAAACUAUAUCUUCAUUUGUUUUCAUAAAGUACUAGAAAUCGAGCGAUAAGGAAUAUGAGACAACGUAAAUUCGUUGGACUUAGAAUCAUAAUACAUAUAGUUUUUGUUUCUUGAGAUGAUAAUAUUGCAAACGGACUCACUUGGCGCACCAGUGUAUCUCAACCAGUUGGUUGACAAACAUAGCAUAAUUCCUCACUAAAAAAUUUAGUAUGUGAUAAUUUUUUUGUAAAAAAUUAAAAUAUACUUUUUUUAUUUGGUUAAAAAAAUUGGAGUUAUAACAUUAGGUGCAACCUUAGUUGCCCAAAACAAAAUACAUCUAUAUAUAUAUAUAUAAUUGUAUCGAUACAACACACUUAUUCAAAUUAAGAUUAACUUUUCGUUUAUCAAUUGUCAGGUGGACCGAGAGUAAAUCAUUAAAAUCUUCAGAAAGAUAAUUGGUGCCUUCGAAAUAUUUUCGAAUUAACGAAAUAAAUUUUAUUUGUGAGAUUAUUAACCAUUAAUCACUAAUUCCACCGCAAACACACACACUUAAUCUACACUAAAACAAAAAUUGUGACAUAACAUUCCAUUCUCGCAUAGCAUAAAAAGAGAAACUGUGAUGUUUUUUAUUGCUCAUAAUCAACUACAUUCAAAAGCAUGAAUCUACAUUUACAUCAAAACAAAAAAUGUGUUUAAAUAUGAAAUAAUAGGCUUUUAAGCCAAUGGUUUUAUUAUUCGUGUAUGGUAUGUUUAUCUUGAAAAGUCAAUCACAGUUCCUUUCUCCUCUCACCAUACUUCAUAUUCCUUUUGUUAGCAUCACUACUUCAUGCAAGUUUGAUAACAUCCUUUAUAACAACUCUCUGAUUUUUCCAGGUCUGCCAAAUUCAUAAAGAAAAAAAAUACAAUUAAAGGAAGGACAAUCACCCAUCAAAACUAGAUAAAAUAAUUAAAGUAAGCGACCAAAUUUUAGUAUAUAUAUGAAUACUGCUACUAAACUCCUAAUGAUUGUGAGUUUGAUCCAAAUAAAAACUUUGUAUAUGAAUACUACUCUAAUUGAAUGUUACUCAUGACUAGAAUAACCUCUAAUGACCUUUCAUGCUCAAUGCAUGUAAGCAAACAAUGUCUUCCCCAACGAAUUAUCCUCAUUAUGAAAAUGUUUGCCAACACUACUAUUAGUGCUUAAAAUACAAAAGAAAUAUCAAAAUUAACACCAAUGGACCUAAAAGCUCUUUUUUUCUUUUUCUUUUUUUGAUAAAAAAGAAAGGAUAGUGUCAAUCAGAGAGUCGAGCAGAAUAUCUCAACUAGAAUGUGACAUUCAUAGAUAUAGUCAAAACAACUAUGUGAAAGGGGCAAUAUUAUAGAAGCUAAUAUAAGAAAAAAACCAGAGCAAAGAUCUCUCAGAAUAGCAUUUAGAUUGAGACAUCAGAAACCAAAAAAAACUUAAAGGAUUAAAAUAAGUAUAUUAACUUUGUCCAACAAUGUAAAAGAAUAAAAUAGGUACUCCAAGAGUACUAGAAAUUAACUCACUCGGGUUUUGCAGGGUGGAAAUUUGGCUGCAGAGAGAAGCGGCACAACCAAGGUUGCAAAAUUGACGAGCAGCAUCCUCAGGGUUGGCAUUCGUAGCGGAAUUUGUAAUGGUUGAUGUGGAUCCUCCACCACAUAAGCUAAGGAUAAUCAAGCAAAUUACAAAUGAUUUCAUUUUUUCUCAAUUUCAAUUUCUUCUUAUGUUUUUUCUUCUUUUUCUUAUGGUUCAAAUUUAUAUAUAGUUAAGCGCUUGAUUUUAUAGAAAAUAAGAUUGAGUAAAAUUAACUAUAGAGAGAAAAAUAAAAUUAAGUACUCUUUAUCAAAACCACAAAUCGAAUUGAGGAUGAAACAGUAUUCAUGGCGAUACUAUCGAAAAACUAAUGACUCACGAUGACACACUGCCACGCUUCCCUUGAUCACCUCACAUUUUUUUUUGACUAAUUUAACUUCCUCUUAUGGCUUAAAAUGCCUUUCACGUUAAAGCCCUACCAAUGUGGAAGAUCUCAUUUGUAGUUUACAAAAUUGCCAUUACACAAAUUAUAUCUUUGACAUUUUCAACCGAUUUUUUUAGUUGUAAAUAUAACAAAUAGAAACACAUACAUAUAUAGACCUAGACCUAGUAAUAGGAGUAUACAUUGUCAUAUUUACUUUUCAUAAUUUUACUAUACGCUUAAAUCAGUAAACCUGGAAGUGAUCUCUAUUGUAAUUGUUUAUUUAUUUACUUUUCGAUAGAACACGAUCCUUUACUUAAUUUGCCGAGUUAUUAUUCGACACCAAGAGUUUUAUUAGUAUAAAACACAUGGCUCAACUGACAUCUGAUAUGUGUUAGCGAUCAUGACGUUUAUGACUUGAAUCACUGCACCUGCAACAUAUUCUCUCCAAUUACUAAUUUAAUAUCAAAUCAAUUAGUAUAAAAUGAGAUAGUUGAUGUCACAAUUAGUAUAAAAGAUAUUAUAUUCGAUCAAGGACUCGUGACCUUAAAUAGGCUUUAUAUUUUGGAUUAAGUUGAAAAUCACCCACAUUGAAAAUAUAAUUUUGUUAAAGAAAUCAACAAUGAAUUAUCGAAUUACAAAAAACGUGUGGAGAAAUCGACGUACAUAUCUAUUUGUGGUUUACUAACAGUGUCAUAGCUACAUCUACGAGAUAGAGAAGACACAUGUUUUGGAGAAAAUCUUUUCUUAGUACAAAUUAAAUUGUGCCUCUAUACUUUGUUGUUCGUAGCACCACAUGUAACAAAUUCAAGGCAUUUUAUCAAUUUGUAUAUCUUUCAAUUACUUUACUUUCACAAUCCAAUUGAUGUAUGGUAGAAAAAGCUAGCUCAUGUAGUUAUGAUCUAAUAUGAUGAUUAAGUUAGAAAUUAAGUAUCUUAGCCCUUUCAACGUUUGUUAUUUUAUAUACAUUUUUCAUUUUAUUAUAACUAAUAAUUUUCACUCUUUUAUAAAAAAACCUCCUCCUCCAUAAAAAUAUAAAAAUAAACUUAUUAAAAGUUAUUUUAUUAAAAUAAACUUAUUGAAAAUUUUCCUCCCUUCCCUUCUCGUUUUAUCUCCCUCUUUCUCUCCACCAAACCUUCACAUCGUUUUCUCCAUCUCCAUCGGCCGCGGCUCACAACUCUUCAUCUCUCCACCGAUUGUCGACAUAAUCCACGACUCUCCAUCUCCACGACACUCUCUCCAUUUUCGGAUGGCCAACCACAUAGACUCUAACCCACAACACUCCAUCUCUACACCAGUUGCCAACCCACAACCAGGACUCUCUAUCUCCACCGACCACCGACCACCGACCGUCGACCUUCAACCCCCACAACUCUCCAUCUUCGUGCAAUUCUCGCCAUUUUGGAGUUCUUUUGCUUGUUUACUUAUUUGAUCAAUUAGUUAUUUUGUUUUUCUCAUUUUGAAUUCACUACAAGAAAUUUAUGAUUCAAUGGCAAAGUUUUAGUGGCGCAAGUUAUUUUUGUUAGUAAAAGUUCGUUUGUAAAGAAGCAAAAAAAAAUGUCACAAAAAAUUAUUAUUAGUGUCACAUUUUUAAUCCACGUCACUAAAAGAAUUAGUAACACACAUAAAUAAUGUAAUUAAAAUCUAUAUAGUUUUAGAAACAAACUUAAAUGUUGCUGAAAAACUUCAAACUUUCACCCUUACUUUCAAUUUCCCUAAACUUUUUUUAAAGAAAUUGUUAAAUAUAUAUUCUCUUUGUAUCUUCCCCUUUCUCUCCUCAAGAAAACUCUUCCCAAAACCCCUACCUUUUAAAAACUUUCUUUUAUAAAAAUACCUUUUCUUUUUUUAAUUUCUCCCUCUUUUCCCCUUCCCUAAAAUUCCCCCACUUUUCCAAUCUCCCUUUCCCCCACCCACCCCCGAUUUCAUCUUAACCAUGCCACUUAACCAUGCCAUUGUUGGGAAUGAUAAGAUAAUUCGCUUGGCAAAUGGGUUUGUACAGCUUAAUGAUUUGAGCUUUAGUGACAAUUCAAGUUGGACCAAAACUAAGAAGUUUAGAUUGGGAGUGAAAUUUGUGGAUGACGAAAUCAAAACUAAGUUUCCAAGAAUUGAGGGAGCUAUCUCCGAACCUUUUAGAGUGAUGGAUCAGCGUGGUGAAGGUAUGCCUUUUUUUUUUCUCAAAUGCAAAGUUCUUUUUAAGUGAAAAUAUCAUUCUCUGGAGAUCCCUUUUUGAGACUUAUUUUAUAUUUUUAUAUAUAUCUUAGUCCUUCCAAUGGCCGUAUUUCAUUCAGAUUCCCUUUAGUCCUUAUAUUUUUAGAUCAAAGUUGGUGAAUAUAUUCAAACCUUUUUUUGUUUUCUGUUUAUUAUGAUGCAUAAGGGUACAAGAAACACCACCCUCCAAGUAGGGGAGAUAAAAUCUGGCGAUUAGAAGGAAUUGCCAAAAAUGGUGCAUAUCUCCAACGCUUGUCCUCCAACGAAAUAAAAAAUGUGGAUGAUUUUUUGAAGACUUAUAAACAAAAGGGUUCUACUUACCUGAAACAGGUAUACGUAUGACAAAAGAUAAUAAUAAUUCGAAGUUGUUAAUUUCACAUAACCAUUUUAUGCAGUUUUGUAUAUGCAGCUACUUGGUGAGAAAGUCUCUAUCGGCGAACAGAAGAAGAAGAGAGGAAAAGGAGGGUGGGCGGCGGCUGGGUAGAAAAGAAAAGAAAACUGAAAGAAGGAGCAGAGGGGGGUUUGCGCGCGGGAGGAAGAAGGAAGGAAAAAAAAAAUUCUUUUCUUUUCUUUUUUCUAUUUACCUUUUCUCUUAUUUAAUAUAAUAACUAAUAAUAAUAAUAAUAAUAAAUAUAUAGUAUUAUUAUUAUUAUAACAUUUCUAAUCCCCUUUCUCCCUUAACUUCUUUUCUAAAAAAAAAAAAUCUUCAAAUUAAAAUGCAAUUUAAUUUAAAAGUAAGAUACCUUAGAGUUCGGGGUGUUAUAAUAAUACUAAAUUAUUGGUCAUUUUUUGUUGUGUAACUAUUGGUUGGAGAGUUUAUUUUGUUGAUGAAUAUGUUUUAUUGAAAUGAAUGUACGUAAUGAAAAAAACAGAAAAUGGAACAUUUUGUAUAUUAAAUAUAUUAAUAAAUGCUAUACAUGAUGUUAAAUAUAUGUCAAGUAUACUAUCGUACUUAAAUCACAUAUACAAUUUUACUUUGACGGAUAAAUAGCGUCAAGUAUACUAUCUUACUUGACGAGUAAAUAGUAUCAAGUAUAUUAUCUUACUUGACAUGUAAAUAGUGUCAAGCAUAUGAUCUUACUUGACAUGUAAAUAAUAUCAAGAAUACGAUCCUACUUGACGUGCAAAACUCGUCAAGUAUAGGACUCUACUUGACACGUAAAAGGUGUCAUGUAUAUAACCUCACUUGACACGUAAAAGGUGUCAUGUAUAUAACCUCACUCGACACGUAAAAGGUGUCAUGUAUAUAACCUCACUUGACACAUAAAAGGUGUCAUGUAUAUAACCUCACUUGACACAUAAUAAGCGUCAAGUGUGAUAGAUUACUUGACGUUAAUACAAUGUCAAGUAACUGUAUACUUGACGAUUUUCUAGUGUAUAGUAAUGUGACUAUACCUAACAGUCCAUUACUUGACGCUUUUAAAAACGUCAAGUAAGCCAAUUUUGGUAGUAGUGAUUUCAAAUUGAGAAUAUAAAUUUUCAAAUUGAUAAUAAAUAUAAACACUAUGUGAUCAUGACGUGGUCGCGAGACUAACUUCAGAAUUUGCAGUUUCAAGAAGUUAUCUAAAGAGAUACAAAUUUAAGCUUUUACCUUAGUUUAUUUACAAUUUUCCCUAAUUGUUUUCCAUUUUCAAAAUUCUAUAUAUUUCUUGUCUUUUAUUUACACUUAAGACCUAAAUGUUUUGCUUAUUGAAUUUUUUUCUUUGAUGGUUUUUGUGAUAUAUUGAUGGUUCUUUGUAGGAAAAACAUCACCCUCAUAGUUUUACUUUUAUAGGAAUGGUUCCUUAGAUUCUUGUCAACAUGUUUAUGUAUGCUUCCUUGAUAGUGACUUCUAGAUUCUUCCUUUGUAGUUAGCUCAACAGGAAGGGAUUUCUUCAAAACAAUUACUAGCUAGAUGCAACUAGAGUGGCUAAAAGCUGAGAUUCUCGAGAUACUUUUAGCUACUGUAGUUGUCAAUCUAGCUGGAACAAAGGAUUUGGAUAUAUAUAUUUUCAAAACUAAUUUCACUUCAGGUUUUUUAUUGUUUAUUUGUCAUGAGAUUAUUGGUGUUCUAUUUUUCAAUGUUUGUCUGUUUUGUAGGUUUAAUCAUGAUCUAAGGUCAGUUGCCAAUAUUAUACAAACUUCACAUAUAUGGUUCAUAUGUUUAACUGAUCUUAAGCAAAAUAUUAUUUUCUUUUUUCUUUAUUUCUUGGUGACAGGUGUUUGCUAUCAUUUGUGAUUGUGUAUUCUACCAUGGUGGUGACUCCUGAAGAAUAUCUUUCGUUUGACUCCAUAGUAAGUAACUAUAAUUUUGCUGGCACAUCAUGCCAAAUAUUUUCAUUCAUGCAUCCUAUCUUCUUUAUGAUUUUUAGGUUGAAUUAUAACAUUUGUAUAACGUGAAACAAUUUAUCUUGUAGGAACUAGCUAAACAUGAAAAAGUUUGGGGAUAUUGCAUUCAGGGACAAGGAUUAUAAAAAUGGUCAUAAUUGAGUACUACUCAAAGGUGCUUUCUACGCUCUUAACUUCAUAGCUUUGAUAUAUUGUUACAAUAUGGAUAACAUAACGACUAAUUCUCAAAGUCGUUGAAAUUCAGGAUUUUGUUUUUUGUUCAUGUCAAUGCAUGGUUAACAUUAUGACCAUUUUUGAAACUGCAUCUAAUAUCAAUGAUGUCAGUUCCUUCUGGUAACUUCAACCCAACUAGUAUCACAAUGUAAAAUUGGGUUUUUUACCUCCCACUUGUUCUUCCUGUGAAAUCAUGCUCAUAAAAGUUACUCAUUUGUUUACUUUCUCAGGGGUAUCGCUAUAAAAAGAAGAUUUUUCAGAAGGUAAGCACUUUGUUUGCCUUUGGGCCUGUAUAAUCGAUGAUGAUGUUUUCGAUUGUAGUAUUGCCCAUUAAAAGUCACAUAGAUAAAAGUCACGAUUACAACUUAAAACAUGGGUAGAGUUGUCAAAUGAACUAUAAUCACUAGAAGAAAAUUUGUCUACUAUGACAGUUAUAUAUCUCACAAAAUGAAUGGGAAAAUAAAAAACUAUCACAAAAUAGAAAAUUCGCGUCUUUGGCGGGAAAAGACAGAAUUUUUUGAAAAACACUUUUCGCGACAGUUAUUUAAUGUCAUAGAAUGUUACCAUUAAAAAAUUUAUUAUUUUAUAUUUAAAAAAUUAAAAUUACAUAUUUGUAUUUUUAAAAAAACACAAUUUCCCCUUCUAAUUUUUCCCCAAAAUUUUUCCCCAAUUUUUUCCUCCCAUCCGCGCUCGUUCUCUCCUAAAUUACCCCCAUUCCUUCCGUCCGCGUUUCUCCCCAUUCCGGCCAUCUUAAGUCUCGUCACCACCACUGCCCCCUCCUGCCCGUCCGUUCAAAUCUCCUCCUCCUCGCCACCACCACCCCGUCGCCACCACCCCCGUCUUCUCCAAACCUCUGCAAUCAACCUGAAGCUUCAAAUUGUGGACGUCGGUCGUCACCCCUUAGCCGGUAAGCUUCUCUUCCUUAUCUCUUUCUCUCCUCUCUCUAUGAAGUUCUUCUUUGUCUCCAUGGGAUUGUUUUGUGAGUUUCAGUUUUUCCCAAUUUCAGUCAUUAAUCGUUGAAUUUUCAUUAUAUGACCUUAAUUCGUUCUUGCAACUACAUGAGAUUAUUUUGUGAGUUUGAGUUAUGCCUAAUUUCUGUUUUCUAAUUGUUGAUUUCUCUUGAAUUUUAAUUUCUGGCAGUGUACUGUGGUACAAUCUAAAAUUUGUCUAAUUACUUGUACAAUGUAAACCAAACUACUUAUACAAACCUACCUAAUAAGCUAACUAAAGACAAACUAUUGUUAUAAUUAAUUGUCAACUAAUUCCCUUCAUCAUUCAUCAUGUCUGUAAAGGAAAUUGUCCUUCAAUUGAGUGUAAAACUUGAAAUAACAAAGGUUUUAUGCUAAUUGGGGGGAGAAGUUUCCUUCAAGAUGGUUCCAUCACUAAGCUGGUAAUGAGACAACCUUUUAAAUUAAUGUAACAAAUUCCAUUAGUUUUCAUCAUGCCAUUCGAGUGGUUCGUUUAAUAGCGACCAAAAGUCUUUAAAACUGUCAAAGUCGACAAAAUCCAAUAGGGGAGGUCUAAAUUGACUCAAGUCUUAAGAGAAUGUUUCAUGGUAUUUGAGUGUUAAUAGGUGGAUUUGUUUCUCUAAAUCUUAAGUAUAAUGUUUCUUUCUCAAUGAUUGUUUACGAGGAACAUUUGAUUUUGGGCAUUUCUUUUCAUAUAGCACAUUUUUGUUAUAAAUUCAAAAGUUUGAUCUUUCAUUAGAAGGAGAAAAAUCAGCAUCAUAUUUAGAUAAGAAUUUGAUGAACUCUGAUAUAUAGAUGUGAGAACUUAUGGGUGGAUUGAAAUGCUGAACAAUACCGCUCAUGUAUUUGGUUUUGAAAUUUAGAGGAUCAUUGGAGUUAUGAAGUAUUCUUUAGUAUACUUUUAAGACUAAGCUAAAAACCAGCUGUUAGGACUAAGUUUGAUGUUGACUACAAUAAUUUCUUCGUAUAUAUAGUUACGAUAUUUUCUUUAGUAUAUAUAAUUUUGAUGUUGAUUAUCUAUUUUGCAAAAUAUACUUUUGUGUGUCUAUGUGUGACGCUUUUCCUACCACAAUCGUUUCCAAUACAGCUAGAAAAUUCCAAAAUGGUAUGAAAUAAAUUAUUAAGUACUUUGAGGAUUAUCUACCGUUCUGAAAGUUUGAGUUUUAAAAGUUGUUGCCCAUAAUCUCUUUUGUAAUCAGGUUUAUUUCGAGGCCAACUUAGACCUCUAAACAAUGGACAAGUCAUGGAUGACCCAAAAUAGGAUGUCAAGAGAAUAUGAUUUAGGAGUCGAAAGGUUCAUUAAAUUUGGGUUGAGUCAUGCCAAAAGUCUUAAUUCAAUUAGAUGUUCAUGUUUGAAUUACGGCAAUCGUUUACUUAAGGAUGUCUCAAAAGUUCGGUAUCAUUUGUAUGCCAAUGAAUUGAUAAGAGUUACAAGGUAUGGUUCUUGCAUGGUGAAGAAUUGAACUCAGAUAACGUUACCAACACGAUGGAAAAUACAGUGGAUGAAACUGAUGAAAAUGACGAUUUAUUUAUACAAUUAAUAUGGUUCAAUCUGUUCAAGAACAAUCUUGUAAUGCAUCAAAUACCUUCGACACUAUGUUUGAUGACGUGAAGAAACCCUUAUACCCAGGAUGUAAGAAAUUCACAAAGUUAUCAGCCCUCGUGAGAUUGUAUAACCUGAAGGUUAGGUAUGGUUGAACUAACACUAGCUUCUCUGAAUUGUUGUCCAUAAUAAGUGAUCUAUUACCUGAUAACAAUGAAAUUCCAUGUUCUUUGUACGAAGCGAAGAAAACACUUGGUGCCCUAGGACUGAGUUACCAAAAAAUUGAUGCAUGCCCUAAUGAUUGUUGCUUGUACAGAAAAGAAUAUGAAAAGAUGACCAAGUGCCCUAAGUGUGGUUUGUCAAGGUGAAAUAUCGCUAAGAACUCAAAAAAGGAAAAAGUGGUGUGGUUGCUAAGCAGAUGUGGUACUUUCCAAUAAUUCCAAGAUUUAUAAGAAUGUUCAAGAGAUCUGAAAAUGCUAAGAACUUGCGUUGGCAUGCGAUAGAUAGACAAGUUGAUGGUAUUUUGAGACACCCGGCUGACACUCCAUCAUGGAGGUUGAUAGACCACAUGUGGCCAACCUUUGGGUUAGAACCGAGAAAUCUCCGUUUGGGUUUGUUUACUGAUAGAAUUAACCCAUUUGGAGAUAUGUUGACGAUGUACAUUUGUUGGCCCAUCAUCACUACAAUAUACAACCUUCCACCAUGGCUGUGUAUGAGAAGAAAAUAUUUGAUGUUGACAAUGUUAAUAUCAGGUCCAAAGCAACCGGGAUACGAUAUCAAUACGUACUUAGCACCUUUAAUUCAUGACCUACAAAUGUUGUGGACAGAUGGAGUUCGUUGUUUCGAUGCAUAUAAGGAAGAAUAUUUCACACUGCGGGCUGUCUUAUUGUGGACCAUCAACGAUUUUUCAGCAUACGGUAAUCUAUGCGGUUUUAGUGUGAAAGGAUAUAAGGCUUGUCCAAUAUGUGGAGACGAGACUACUUCAAUAAGAUUGCAACAUGGAAAAAGAAUGUCAUACAUGGGACACAUGAAGUAUUUGCCAAGACAUCAUCCAUACAGAUUACAAAAAAAAAAAAAAAUUAAUGGGAAGCAAGAGCAUGAAAUUCCUCCACAACCCUCGUCGAGGGAGGCCAUGUACCUUAAGAUGAAAGACAUGAUAUUUUCAUGUGGGAAGAAGUGUGGGAAGACCGUGCAUAAUGAAGGUGACAAUGACUAUGGAAAAGAAAACCUGAUUUUUUUCAACUACCAUAUUGGAAACACUUGCAUGUUCGACACUGUUUAGACAUAAUGCAUAUUGAAAAAAAUGUAUGCAUGAACAUAGUGGGCACCUUACUUGAUAUACCAGGAAAAAGUAAGGAUGGGAUGAAUACUAGACUUGACUUGGUUGAAAUGAAAAUUAGACAAGAAUUGGCACCAAUGUUUACUGGUAAUAGAACUUAUAUCCCUGCGGCAUGUUAUACACUGUCAAAAGAAGAGAAUUAUCGGUUUUGCAAGACUUUGUCAGAAAUUAAAGUUCCAGAAGGUUAUUCAGCAAAUAUUAGUAGUCGUGUCUCUUUGGAUGACUUAAAACUGACCGGCCUUAAGUCGCACGACUGUCAUGUUUUAAUGCAACAACUGCUUCCAAUUGCAAUACGUUCAGUCCUACGGAAGAAUGUGAGGUACACUAAAAACCCACAAACUGUCCUCUCCCCGUUGAAGUCGAAACCGGCCGAACGCCCAAACUCCAUCUGCAAGGUUGCCGACUGUUCAUGUCGUCUGAUCUCUUCUCCUCGUUCCGUACUGCCGCGAGUCAUCCCGAAUUGUCGUGACCCUCUGUCGUCGUUCGUCCCAAUUCGUGAAGUCGCCGGAUCGGUUCUACAGCUUGUGUGAUUUUUUUAUUCGUACACUGCUGCAACUUUUACCUUGUCGUGUGUUGCCAAAAUUGUUGUUGGUAAGGAUGAAUUGGGGAUUUAAUUUUUUCUUGGCUAUUGAUAAAUUAUAUUGUUGGAUCUAAUUGCUUGGAGAAACACUUCAUCCUUAAGGUACUAAUUGAGGUUAGUGAGCGGAUACUUGGGUUGUAAUAGGUUGAGUUGGAUUUGUCUCCCCAUUUGAGGUGGUAAGUGACAACUCACUUUUGGUUGAGUUGGAUAGAUUAUUUGAAGAUGCUAACAUUCUAUUUAUUUAUGUUUAGGAUUUGAUUGUUGGAAUUAGUUUGAUCAAGGAUUUUGCAUAAAAUCAAGGUAAGGAUUCCUACUAUUGGACUCAACGAUGAAAUUGAGAUGUAUUUUCUGCAUGGACCCCGCUAAACUGGGAUGGACUGACUGAUAUGAAAAUCUUAUAUUUAAUUGCCUGUCUAGCUGUACGAAAUUUUGUUGAACUUAAAUGAACUGAUUGAUACGUAUACUUGGUUGGUUAUGACGAUAGAAUUGAUUAAGUUAUGGUUUGUUGGUUGUUAUGUUAGGGCAUAGGUAAUGUCCUAUAAUUGAUGAACUAAUCUGAAUUGACUGAAGUAAGAAGAGCGAUGCUUGGGUGUAAAUUUAUUCAUUGAAGAAUCGUUAUAAUAAUGUUGACUAGGUGUUGGAUUGCAUAAAUUGACUGUAAACGUGUUGAACUCAGAGAAUUAAAUAGUGGUAACUUGAACUGCAAGAAUUUGAUUGAUUGAUUAAAAAUGUUAGAUUGUGACUGAGGGGACAUUGUUAACUUUAUCUAUAGGGUAGUGUACCUUGCAGGUGUCCUACGGGAUCACCACCUGUUGUGCAUUCUUCGGAAGCACUAGACUGAUAUGUGUUUUUUUACAGAACACUAGACUGAUAUGUACGUCCCUCGAGGCGUUAGACUGAUUAUGUGUAUCCUACGGGAUCACAAGACUGUGACUGUGCAAGGUACCCCGAUAGGAAGUUAACAGUUUAUUUUUCCCCUAACGGGACCAAUAGUUGGUCUCUUACUGAGUAUGUUUAUACUCACCCUUUUAUGUUUAACUUUUCGGGCAAAGGUAACAAAGGUGGCAAACCGACGAGUGGCCGGAAGGAAGCGUGAUCGCCAUAGGGGACAUUUUAAAUUCGCUUCCGCUUGAUGAUUUAUGUUUUUGUUUUGUUUUCGUACUUGAGACUGUGUAGAAAAUUUGAGGUUUAACUGUAUCCAAAAAUCAGAAAAUCAUAAGUUUUUUUUUUCUUGAAAGUUUUGGUUAUUUUAAACAGGGCCCAAACACAAAUUUUGUUUUCUUGAGUUUUUAAAUUUAAUUGAAUUUGGUACUUUGUGUAAACUCAAGUCUUUGUGUUAAUUUAACGACUUUGACUUAGUUAGAAAAGUUGGGUCGUUACAGUUGGUAUCAGAGCCUAAGUUUUAGGUUCUAUAGACUGACUUACGAUGUAAGUCUGUGUUUUGUGUCCCUAUGGCUAAUGCGACUCUUCGCCUCUCGUCAGGUAUGCUUUAUGCUUAUAUGUAUUGUUUAUUUGCAUGACUUUGCCUAAGUUAAACUAGACUGUAUGAUGUACCUUAUGAUUAAGACUAUUAAAAGAGAGUUGUUGGUGGAUAAUAGGAAUUAUGCCGCCAAAGAAAGGUGUUCGUAGAGGAGGUCGUGGAGGCCGGGGUAGAGGAGCAGUUCGUAAUCAACCUGUUGAGGGUCAAGCUGAACAGUAAAUUCCUACUGCACCAGUGACUCACACCGAGUUGGCUGCACUAUUUACUCACAUGGAGCCUUUUCACGGAGCUUAUGACUGCUAUAGCUUAGAACCCGCAGGCACCCGUAGUUCCGCCUACACCAGUAGUUCCAUUUGCACCAGUGGUUCCCCCUGUACCAGCAGCUCCACCUGCACCAGCAGCCCCUCCUGCAUAGGGAUUGGUUGCACAACAGCCACAGAUACUACCG